UACGGAGGAUGCGAGCGUUAUCCGGAUUUAUUGGGUUUAAAGGGAGCGCAGACGGGAUGUUAAGUCAGCUGUGAAAGUUUGCGGCUCAACCGUAAAAUUGCAGUUGAUACUGGUUUCCUUGAGUGCGGUUGAGGUGUGCGGAAUUCGUGGUGUAGCGGUGAAAUGCUUAGAUAUCACGAAGAACCCCGAUUGCGAAGGCAGCACACUAAGCCGUAACUGACGUUCAUGCUCGAAAGUGUGGGUAUCAAACAGG
RNAcentral lists this ribosomal RNA (253 nucleotides) under Phocaeicola plebeius DSM 17135. RNAcentral describes it as "partial 16S ribosomal RNA". It matches the Rfam family "Bacterial small subunit ribosomal RNA", at positions 524 to 776 of the family's 1533-position model. Lineage: Bacteria; Pseudomonadati; Bacteroidota; Bacteroidia; Bacteroidales; Bacteroidaceae. The record is from RNAcentral.